Molecule: transfer RNA, 90 nt
Filed under: Betaproteobacteria bacterium GR16-43
Lineage: Bacteria; Pseudomonadati; Pseudomonadota; Betaproteobacteria
Description: tRNA-Ser
Rfam family: tRNA
About the family: Transfer RNA (tRNA) molecules are approximately 80 nucleotides in length.
Source: RNAcentral
GGAGGGUUGGCCGAGUGGUUGAAGGCACCGGUCUUGAAAACCGGCAGGGCCGCAAGGCUCUCGUGAGUUCGAAUCUCACACCCUCCGCCA